AACAGAAAAUCCCACUUCACAAAUCACAACUACUCCAAUUCUCCAACUCGCCAACUUCUACCCAAAUCUCUAAUCAGGAAAAUGGGCCGUUCUAGUCGAACAAUUUACGUUGGUAACCUUCCUGGGGAUAUUCGCGAGACUGAAAUUGAAGACUUAUUUUACAAGUAUGGGCGUGUCGUUGAUAUUGAUUUGAAAACGCCUUCAAAAGCACCCGCGUAUGCUUUUGUGGAGUUUGAAGAUUCGCGUGAUGCUGAAGAUGCCAUUCAUGGCCGAGAUGGAUAUAAUUUUGAUGGCUAUAGGUUAAGGGUCGAACCAGCAUAUGAAGAGAGAGGAUCCUCAUCCUAUAGUGGAAGUGGCCGCCGUGCUUCAAGUCGUUCUGAUCACAAGGGGUUGAUAGGUCGAUCAAGUAGCACUAUUUAUGUGGGUAAUCUUCCUGGAGAUGUUCGGGAGAGUGAAGUUGAAGAUUUAUUUCACAAGUAUGGACCUAUAGUUGAUAUUGAUCUGAAGACCCCUCCAAGACCGCCUAUUUUUGCUUUUGUUGAGUUUGAAGAUCCUCGUGAUGCUGAUGAUGCCAUCCGUGGACGGGAUGGCUACAAUUUUGAUGGCCAUCGAUUACGGGUUGAACUUGCUCAUGGUGGCCGAGGAACAUCAUCCAAGGAUCGUAUCAGCAGUUACAGCAAUGGAAGUAGUCGCGGUGGACUAUCAAAGCAUUCUGACUACAGGGUCUCGGUAACUGGACUCCCUUAUUCUGCUUCGUGGCAAGACUUAAAGGAUCAUAUGCGUCGGGCUGGGGAUGUAUGCUUUUCUGAAGUUUAUCGUGACCGUGAUGGCAUGCGGGGGAUUGUUGACUACACAAAUUAUGAUGGCAUGAAAUAUGCAAUAAAAAAGCUUGAUGAUUCUCUUUUCAAGAAUCAGUUUUCUCGGUCUUAUAUAAGGGUGGAGGAAUUUGAUGCUAGACGUAGUUAUUCAAGGAGCCCUAGCAAAAGUGUUUACACAAGAAGUAGAAGUCCCAGCCGCAGCUACAGUGACAUGAGUAGAAGGUGAAUCCAAGAUAUCCCUAACUUCAAAAGUCUUCUGCUUCUGUUUCGAGAUCUGCGUCCCCACCUCCCUCAGCGUCAAGAUGUGGAUUUGCGUUGUGGUCUGGGGAUUGCAUGUUAGGAUCUUGAUGCUAUGCAAUGCUCAAAUUCACGCGCUCAAAUCUUUCUGGCGGUCAGUAAGCAUCUGCAGCGAAAUGAGAUGAUACCGAUCAAGAUCUAGGACUCCAACGUUGUCUCCAGCUGAAUUCAGGCGUGACAGUGAGAGUCCAUGGAGGAGGAGGAGCAGGAGCAGAUCCAUAUCGCAUUCACACUCUGAGCUAUCUGAGUGAGCAAAUAUCAAGAUGAAAGCCGCUUGCAAACGUAGUUUGUGUUUAUGAUAAUUCAAGUACAAGGAGUUGUAGAUCCAAGGGGGACUCCUUACUAUUAAACUUAUGUUGAAAAUGAAAUCUUAAACCAGUAUUAUGAGGUGACAUGUAGUAGAUAUGUACUUGGUGAUUUGAUAUGAGGUGACAUGGUAGUAGAUAUGUACUCCCCCUGUCUCCGAAUAAGAGUCAAACUUUUUUAUUUCGGUACGGUCA
Molecule: RNA transcript, 1615 nt
Organism: Salvia hispanica
Lineage: Eukaryota; Viridiplantae; Streptophyta; Magnoliopsida; Lamiales; Lamiaceae
Gene name: serine/arginine-rich splicing factor SR30-like
Source: RefSeq, a predicted model, not a curated record